RNAcentral lists this ribosomal RNA (506 nucleotides) under uncultured bacterium. RNAcentral describes it as "bacterial SSU rRNA". It matches the Rfam family "Bacterial small subunit ribosomal RNA", at positions 19 to 518 of the family's 1533-position model. The record is from RNAcentral.
UUGGCUCAGGAUGAACGCUAGCGACAGGCCUAACACAUGCAAGUCGAGGGGCAGCACAAGGAGCAAUCUGAGGUGGCGACCGGCGCACGGGUGAGUAACACGUAUGCAACCUGCCUGUAAGCGGGGAAUAACCCGUUGAAAGACGGACUAAUACCGCAUAAUACUAAAUUACUGCAUGGUAAUUUAUUUAAACAUUUAUGGCUUACAGAUGGGCAUGCGCAUGAUUAGCUAGUUGGAGAGGUAACGGCUCCCCAAGGCAACGAUCAUUAGGGGUUCUGAGAGGAAGGUCCCCCCACACUGGUACUGAGACACGGACCAGACUCCUACGGGAGGCAGCAGUGAGGAAUAUUGGUCAAUGGACGAGAGUCUGAACCAGCCAAGUCGCGUGCAGGAAGAAUUGUCCUAUGGAUUGUAAACUGCUUUUGCAGGGGAAUAAAGUGCAUCACGUGUGAUGUUUUGUAUGUACUCUGCGAAUAAGGAUCGGCUAACUCCGUGCCAGCCGCCGC